This 552-nucleotide ribosomal RNA is filed under the name Bacillus sp. PCSM81. Its description in RNAcentral is "bacterial SSU rRNA". It matches the Rfam family "Bacterial small subunit ribosomal RNA", at positions 145 to 682 of the family's 1533-position model. Lineage: Bacteria; Bacillati; Bacillota; Bacilli; Caryophanales; Bacillaceae. The record is from RNAcentral.
AACUCCGGGAAACCGGGGCUAAUACCGGAUGGUUGUUUGAACCGCAUGGUUCAAACAUAAAAGGUGGCUUCGGCUACCACUUACAGAUGGACCCGCGGCGCAUUAGCUAGUUGGUGAGGUAACGGCUCACCAAGGCAACGAUGCGUAGCCGACCUGAGAGGGUGAUCGGCCACACUGGGACUGAGACACGGCCCAGACUCCUACGGGAGGCAGCAGUAGGGAAUCUUCCGCAAUGGACGAAAGUCUGACGGAGCAACGCCGCGUGAGUGAUGAAGGUUUUCGGAUCGUAAAGCUCUGUUGUUAGGGAAGAACAAGUACCGUUCGAAUAGGGCGGUACCUUGACGGUACCUAACCAGAAAGCCACGGCUAACUACGUGCCAGCAGCCGCGGUAAUACGUAGGUGGCAAGCGUUGUCCGGAAUUAUUGGGCGUAAAGGGCUCGCAGGCGGUUUCUUAAGUCUGAUGUGAAAGCCCCCGGCUCNACCGGGGAGGGUCAUUGGAAACUGGGGAACUUGAGUGCAGAAGAGGAGAGUGGAAUUCCACGUGUAGCGGU